UGUCAGAACCACUUCAAAGUGACAAGCAUCAGCUCCCAAGUCACCACCUUCCUCCAACGGCUCACCAAGUUUGAGUGGAAGACAUCAAACUAGGUAAGCAUUUUCUUGUGUGAUGUAAUAUAGUUAACAUCAGAAAAAUGAUUACACAGUACGAUGAACAGUGCGGCUACGUACCCUGCCUGCUCCAACAUCGACAGAACUAAAUGCACCGGCAUCCUGUAUUUACCACUUGUGUCAGCAUUGGUCACAGUUGCUCGGCAAAAGUUACAUAGUGUUGUUUUAAUUUUAGUUAAAGUUUUCAUAUGUUUUUUUGUCUAAGUGACUGAUAAGAACAACAAUCUUUGAAAUUGGUCCAGUAUUGAGCGAGAACACUGACCUGCAGCUUUGAACCGGGCUCCAAUGUAAUCAUAUAGGGCAAAUGUGUGAUCGUCAAUUUCGUCCACUAAAAGUUAUGUUUUUGCCACUGACGAUCUCAGAUUAUUACUUUAAGUGUCUUGACAACAUUAUGGAAAGGAUCCCUACAGAGAUACACAUUUUAGUUAAAGAGGAAGAUCCUUUUUGUUUAAACAAGAAACAGCCCCGAAAUCACCAUCACCUAACCCACCAGACGAUCAAAAGUUACUGUUUAUUUACACGGAGUCUGGUGGGU
This is a long non-coding RNA of Sander lucioperca (pikeperch), 649 nucleotides long. RefSeq lists it as uncharacterized. Lineage: Eukaryota; Metazoa; Chordata; Actinopteri; Perciformes; Percidae. The transcript is spliced from 3 exons. The record is from RefSeq and is a predicted model, not a curated record.